RNAcentral lists this ribosomal RNA (519 nucleotides) under uncultured eukaryote. Its description in RNAcentral is "bacterial SSU rRNA". It matches the Rfam family "Eukaryotic small subunit ribosomal RNA", at positions 1161 to 1706 of the family's 1831-position model. The record is from RNAcentral.
AGGGCACUACCAGGAGUGGAUCCUGCGGCUCAAUUUGACUCAACACGGGAAAGCUCACCUGGUCCGGACACUGGAAGGAUUGACAGAUUAAGAGCUCUUUCUUGAUUCAGUGGGUGGUGGUGCAUGGCCGUUCUUAGUUGGUGGAGCGAUUUGUCUGGCUAAUUCCGAUAACGAACGAGACUCUAGCCUACUAAAUAGGUGUUCCGAUCCCAUCAGUCGGACGCUCUUCUUAGAGGGACAAGCGGCGUUUAGCCGCACGAGACAGAGCAAUAACAGGUCUGUGAUGCCCUUAGAUGUCCGGGGCCGCACGCGCGCUACACUGAAGGAACCAGCGUGUGUCCCUGUCCGGCAGGACUGGGUAAUCCGUUGAACCUCCUUCGUGAUAGGGAUAGGGGCUUGUAAUUGUUCCCCUUGAACGAGGAAUUCCCAGUAAGCGUGAAUCAUCAGUUCACGUUGAUUACGUCCCUGGCCUUUGUACACACCGCCCGUCGUUACUACUGAUUGGAUGGUUUAGUGAGG